GUAGGUGGCAAGCGUUGUCCGGAAUUGUUGGGCGUAAAGCGCGCGCAGGCGGGUCCUUUAAGUCUGAUGUGAAAGCCCACGGGCUCAACUGUGGAGGGUCAUUGGAAACUGGGGGACUUGAGUACAGAAGAGGAAAGCGGAAUUCCAAGUGUAGCGGUGAAAUGCGUAGAGAUUUGGAGGAACACCAGUGGCGAAGGCGGCUUUCUGGUCUGUAACUGACGCUGAGGCGCGAAAGCGUGGGGAGCAAACAGGAUUAGAUACCCUGGUAGUCCACGCCGUAAACGAUGAGUGCUAAGUGUUAGGGGGUUUCCGCCCCUUAGUGCUGCAGCUAACGCAUUAAGCACUCCGCCUGGGGAGUACGGCCGCAAGGCUG
RNAcentral lists this ribosomal RNA (373 nucleotides) under uncultured organism. RNAcentral's name for it is "partial 16S ribosomal RNA". It matches the Rfam family "Bacterial small subunit ribosomal RNA", at positions 527 to 896 of the family's 1533-position model. The record is from RNAcentral.